Molecule: transfer RNA, 75 nt
Filed under: Cordylochernes scorpioides
Lineage: Eukaryota; Metazoa; Arthropoda; Arachnida; Pseudoscorpiones; Chernetidae
Description: tRNA-Thr
Rfam family: tRNA
About the family: Transfer RNA (tRNA) molecules are approximately 80 nucleotides in length.
Source: RNAcentral
GGUCAUGUGGCCUAGUGGUCAUGGCAUCUGCCCGGUAAGCGGAAGGUCGUGGGUUCGAUUCCCAUCCCUUGACAU